This 578-nucleotide ribosomal RNA is filed under the name uncultured bacterium. Its description in RNAcentral is "bacterial SSU rRNA". It matches the Rfam family "Bacterial small subunit ribosomal RNA", at positions 102 to 676 of the family's 1533-position model. The record is from RNAcentral.
ACGGGUGAGUAAUGUCUGGGAAACUGCCUGAUGGAGGGGGAUAACUACUGGAAACGGUAGCUAAUACCGCAUAACGUCUACGGACCAAAGUGGGGGACCUUCGGGCCUCACGCCAUCAGAUGUGCCCAGAUGGGAUUAGCUAGUAGGUGGGGUAAUGGCUCACCUAGGCGACGAUCCCUAGCUGGUCUGAGAGGAUGACCAGCCACACUGGAACUGAGACACGGUCCAGACUCCUACGGGAGGCAGCAGUGGGGAAUAUUGCACAAUGGGCGCAAGCCUGAUGCAGCCAUGCCGCGUGUGUGAAGAAGGCCUUAGGGUUGUAAAGCACUUUCAGCGAGGAGGAAGGGUUCAGUGUUAAUAGCACUGUGCAUUGACGUUACUCGCAGAAGAAGCACCGGCUAACUCCGUGCCAGCAGCCGCGGUAAUACGGAGGGUGCAAGCGUUAAUCGGAAUUACUGGGCGUAAAGCGCACGCAGGCGGUUUGUUAAGUCAGAUGUGAAAUCCCCGCGCUUAACGUGGGAACUGCAUUUGAAACUGGCAAGCUAGAGUCUUGUAGAGGGGGGUAGAAUUCCAGGUGU